Molecule: ribosomal RNA, 944 nt
Filed under: Bacillus sp. (in: firmicutes)
Lineage: Bacteria; Bacillati; Bacillota; Bacilli; Caryophanales; Bacillaceae
Description: bacterial SSU rRNA
Rfam family: Bacterial small subunit ribosomal RNA
Source: RNAcentral
UUAGAGUGUGAUCCUGGCUCAGGAUGAUCUCUGGUAUGGUGCCUAUUACAUGCAAGUCGAGCGAACUGAUUAGAAGCUUGCUUCUAUGACGUUAGCGGCCCACGGGUGAUGAACCGUGGGCGACCUGCCUGUAAGACUGGGAUAACUUCGGGAAACCGAAGCUAAUACCGGAUAAGAUCUUCUCCUUCAUGGGAAAUGAUUGAAAGAUGGUUUCCGCUAUCACUUACAGAUGGGCCCGCACUGCAUUAUCUAGUUGGUGAGGUAACGGUUCACCACGGCAACCAUGCAUAACCGAGCUGAUAGGGUGAUCGGUCACCCUGGGACUGAUACACGGCCCAGACUCCUACGGGAGGCAGCAGGAGGGAAUCUUCCGCAAUGGACGAUAGUCUGACGGAGCAACGCCGCGUGAGUGAUGAAGGCUUUCCGGUCGUAAAACUCUGUUGUUAGGGAAGAACAAGUACGAGAGUAACUGCUCGUACCUUGACGGGACCUAACCAGAAAGCCACGGCUAACUACGUGCCAACAACCGCGGUAAUACGUAUGUGGCAAGCGUUAUCCGGAAUUAAUGGGCUAAAAGCGCGCGCAGGCGGUUUCUUAAGUCUGAUGUGAAGGCCCACGGGUCGACCGUGGAGGGACAUUGGGAAACUGGGGAACUUGAGUGCACAAGAGAAUAGCGUGAAUUCCACGUGCUUGGGAGAAAUGUCCUACAGAUGUGGAGGAACACCAGUGACGAGGGGCGGCUUUUUGGUCUGAAACUGACGCUGAGGAGCACACAGCGUGGGACAGCAAACAAGAAUUAGAUACCCUGAUACCCCACUCCUUCCACCGAUGAGUGCCUACGCGCUAGUGGGUUUCCGCCCUUUUAGUGCUGCACCUCAACGCAUGAUGCCUCCUCCCGCCUGUGGAGGUCUGACCGCAAGCACUGGAGACUUCUACCGGAAUUU